RNAcentral lists this ribosomal RNA (250 nucleotides) under uncultured bacterium. RNAcentral's name for it is "partial 16S ribosomal RNA". It matches the Rfam family "Bacterial small subunit ribosomal RNA", at positions 524 to 772 of the family's 1533-position model. The record is from RNAcentral.
UACGUAGGGUCCGAGCGUUGUCCGGAUUUAUUGGGCGUAAAGAGUAUGUAGGUGGCUUGGAAAGUUGGAUUUAAAAGCCCUGGGCUCAACCCAGGUUCUGGAUCCAAUACUUCCUUGCUUUGAGGAUAGCAGGGGCAAGUGGAAUUAGCGGAGUAGCAGUGAAAUGCGUUGAUCUCGCUAAGAACACCAAUAGCGAAGGCAGCUUGCUAGGCUAUCACUGACACUGAGAUACGAAAGCGUGGGGAGCGAA